This 253-nucleotide ribosomal RNA is filed under the name uncultured bacterium. RNAcentral describes it as "partial 16S ribosomal RNA". It matches the Rfam family "Bacterial small subunit ribosomal RNA", at positions 524 to 776 of the family's 1533-position model. The record is from RNAcentral.
UACGGAGGGGGCUAGCGUUGUUCGGAAUUACUGGGCGUAAAGCGCACGUAGGCGGCUUUGUAAGUUAGAGGUGAAAGCCCAGGGCUUAACCCUGGAAUUGCCUUUAAAACUGCAUCGCUAGAAUUGUGGAGAGGUAAGUGGAAUUCCGAGUGUAGAGGUGAAAUUCGUAGAUAUUCGGAAGAACACCAGUGGCGAAGGCGACUUACUGGACACAUAUUGACGCUGAGGUGCGAAAGCGUGGGGAGCAAACAGG